GCGGCGGACGGGUGAGUAACACGUGGAUAACCUACCUAUAAGACUGGGAUAACUUCGGGAAACCGGAGCUAAUACCGGAUAAUAUUUUGAACCGCAUGGUUCAAAAGUGAAAGACGGUCUUGCUGUCACUUAUAGAUGGAUCCGCGCUGCAUUAGCUAGUUGGUAAGGUAACGGCUUACCAAGGCAACGAUGCAUAGCCGACCUGAGAGGGUGAUCGGCCACACUGGAACUGAGACACGGUCCAGACUCCUACGGGAGGCAGCAGUAGGGAAUCUUCCGCAAUGGGCGCAAGCCUGACGGAGCAACGCCGCGUGAGUGAUGAAGGUCUUCGGAUCGUAAAACUCUGUUAUUAGGGAAGAACAUAUGUGUAAGUAACUGUGCACAUCUUGACGGUACCUAAUCAGAAAGCCACGGCUAACUACGUGCCAGCAGCCGCGGUAAUACGUAGGUGGCAAGCGUUAUCCGGAAUUAUUGGGCGUAAAGCGCGCGUAGGCGGUUUUUUAAGUCUGAUGUGAAAGCCCACGGCUCAACCGUGGAGGGUCAUUGGAAACUGGAAAACUUGAGUGCAGAAGAGGAAAGUGGAAUUCCAUGUGUAGCGGUGAAAUGCGCAGAGAUAUGGAGGAACACCAGUGGCGAAGGCGACUUUCUGGUCUGUAACUGACGCUGAUGUGCGAGAGCGUGGGGAUCAAACAGGAUUAGAUACCCUGGUAGUCCACGCCGUAUAACGAUGAGUGCUAAGUGUUAGGGGUUUCCGCCCCUUAGUGCUGCAGCUAACG
This 776-nucleotide ribosomal RNA is filed under the name uncultured Staphylococcus sp. Its description in RNAcentral is "bacterial SSU rRNA". It matches the Rfam family "Bacterial small subunit ribosomal RNA", at positions 95 to 857 of the family's 1533-position model. The record is from RNAcentral. Lineage: Bacteria; Bacillati; Bacillota; Bacilli; Caryophanales; Staphylococcaceae.